UUAAAUAAUAUCGGCAAACAAAUCGACAGUUUGUUCAAUUAGUAGAAGAAUAACGGAAAUAUAAAUCAAUACACACGAAAAACACGUCUCCAAUGGCUCGUGUGGCUACAAACCCCGUGGGUCUCCAUAGAUUCCAACCAUGUUUUCGAACAUCUCAAGCUCUUCAUCAAUCUGUUACUGUUAAACCCAAUUUUCAUCUCCAAAACAAGAGCCGAAGAUGGCAAAUCGUUGCUUGCCAAACGACCCCUAAUCCCACUGAAUCCUCCGCGCCGGAUAAAUUGCCUGUUGAUCCAAGCUCAGGCAGCAAUGCGGGCGCCAGCCAAGAGAAGAGUUCUUCACAAGGUUCUGGCUUCCCAGAGCCUCCAAGCAAAGGUCUCAACAAGCAAAUAGCCGUGGUUUCUACUCUUGCAGCAGUGGGACUUUUUUUAUCGUCACGGCUGGAUUUCGGUGUUUCUCUAAAAGACCUAGCAGCUGUUGCAUUACCUUAUGAAGAGGCUCUUUCAAAUGGGAAACCCACCGUUGUAGAGUUUUAUGCUGAUUGGUGUGAAGUAUGUCGGGAAUUAGCGCCAGAUGUUUACAAAGUUGAGCAGCAGUACAAGGAUCGCGUCAAUUUCGUUAUGCUGAAUGUUGACAAUACAAAGUGGGAACAAGAGCUUGACGAGUUUGGUGUUGAGGGUAUUCCACACUUUGCUUUCCUUGACAAAGAUGGAAAUGAAGAGGGCAAUGUGGUGGGCAGGCUUCCGAAAAAGUACCUGCUUGAGAAUGUGGAUGCCCUUUCACGGGGAGAAGCGUCCGUGCCUCAUGCUCGUGUAGUUGGACAGUAUUCAAGCGCAGAAGCGAGAAAGGUGCACCAAGUUGUUGAUCCCAGAAGUCACGGGUAGAUAUGACCUCUUUCAUGGAAUACAAAUCCAUCUGGGUGCCAUGGGAAAUUGAUCUAUAAGGUAACCAACUGAAUAACACUGCGCAUAUAUUAUAAAUUUCCAAACUGUUCUCAAGGUAUCUGAGAGUUCUAGUCACCUAACGUGAAAUCUUUUUCACAUGCUGUGAAUUUUCCCCCCUUUGAAUUUGUAGGAGAGGUAGUUGGUCAGACCAUCUAUGAGUUAAACUGUUUAAAUUGUGCCCAGUGUAAAUAAGGGUUAAACUCAUUUUGAGUCCCCAACUAUAGGGUCCCGGACUUUUGAAACGUUCUAGAACGAGUCCCUGAUUUUCCAAAUUGCCCCAAAUUAGUCCUUUUGUUAUCCAAUUGUCAAAAUAUCAAAUAUUAAAAGGCAUUAGUUUCCUUCUGAACAGUUGUGCCUUAACAUGUAAGCUCACAAUGUUAACUUCUAGUAAAUCACACGCGCUCCUCACGUGCCUUUUUUUGUCAAGAUUUUAACUCUAUCCAAAAGGAUUAAAGAGAUGGAGCAUUCACAUAAACAGUGCUCCAUCUAUCAGCAAUGAUGACAUAUAACAUUGUUCGUGUUGUAACGUUGAAAAGGAAGGGAAAAAACAAAAGAUAUUCGUACAAUUAUUGUUUAUUUUUUUCCCCCCCU
This is an RNA transcript of Morus notabilis, 1532 nucleotides long. It is a transcript of the gene named thioredoxin-like protein HCF164, chloroplastic, with no coding region annotated. The transcript has 5 exons. Lineage: Eukaryota; Viridiplantae; Streptophyta; Magnoliopsida; Rosales; Moraceae. The record is from RefSeq and is a predicted model, not a curated record.